Molecule: long non-coding RNA, 386 nt
Filed under: Hordeum vulgare
Lineage: Eukaryota; Viridiplantae; Streptophyta; Magnoliopsida; Poales; Poaceae
Description: long non-coding RNA (HVUL_LNC018790)
Source: RNAcentral
CAUGAGUUAUAUUCCUUCUUCAAGAUCGCUCCAAAUUUAUUUCUCAUCAUUGGCUCAACUUUUCCUUGUUCAUCAUUCCACGGUGUCGCGGUAAUUUUGGUGGUGUUCCUUCUCGUCAUUUUGUGCAUUGAAUACCGAAGAAGUGUUUCUCUUAAAUCUUGUCCCUUCUUUUAAAGAUUGUAAUCUAGCUUCGUGUUAUCUUCUCAAUUGUUUCCACUCAUGAGUAAUUCUUUCCAUAUCUAUCCGGUGCAUUUCAUUGUUGUGUUCAUUUCUCGAUCAUCUGAAGGCCAUCAUUUCAGAAGAUUUCUUCGCUCUCAGCUUUCAGCUUUCAUUCUCAAAUUCUUCUCAAUUGUUGUCUCUUCGUUCGUCUCUCAAUUAUUCUGGUG